This is a long non-coding RNA of Prosopis cineraria, 1623 nucleotides long. RefSeq lists it as uncharacterized. The record is from RefSeq and is a predicted model, not a curated record. The transcript has 3 exons. Lineage: Eukaryota; Viridiplantae; Streptophyta; Magnoliopsida; Fabales; Fabaceae.
AUUAUUAUUAUUAUUUGACUAAUUUUCCCCAGGCAACCCUAGCUCUCUCGAGCGCUGUGGAACAAGCGGUUGGCUUCUUAAUCCCCAGUUCGCUCUGUGCCACGGAAGAAUUUCUGGUCACAUUGCUUUCGAAGGUGCGGCCAUGGCUGCCGGCGAGUUGGCUUGCACACACGCGUCCCCGAUUCUCCAUGAUAAUGGAAUAGCAAUUACUGCGGAGAAGAUUAAUAAUUAAUAAUUUAGUUAAGGCGGCGAAUGUGUCCGUGGAAUCGUACUGGCCGAGCCUAUUUGCGACACUCGCGGAGAAGAAGAACGUUGAGGAUCUCAUUUUGAAUGCUGGUUCAGGCGGCUCUUCUGCUGUAGCUGUCACUGCUUCUGCUGCCGGUGCCGCCGCUGGAGGUGAUGCCGCUGCAGCCCCCACCGCCGAGGAGAAGAAGGGCCUAAAUAAAGUGUCUCUCUCUAUCUGAGAUAGAAGAGGGGAAGAAAAUCCCCAAGGACUGAAGUAAGGUUCAGCAUUACCCUGGGUAGCUUUGUCUUCUUUAGUUCAGUACCUUUUAAAUUGAGAAUCAUGCCCUUCCAAUGGAUGAUUCUGAUACUAGCAGAGGUUAAUACAUGGCUAAUUCAACCAUGGAGUCAAAAGACAGGAGACAUGACUACCCAGGGAUCACGUCCAUAAAGAAGCUGAAAAUCUAAUAUGUUCACAGGGUAGUCCUACCCUACCAUCAAGUAUGAUUAUGGAAAUGCUUACAUCACCAGUUUGCCAGUAAAAUGCCAUAGCUUGCGGUAUUGAGUAUAUUGAUGUAUUUUUACCCUGUAAUCAUGUUAAUCAGAUAUUUGAACCCCUUUCUCGUUAAUUAUUCGCACUCCUCACUGAGGUUGUUGUGUUACUUAGGAGCUUGUGUUUCCUGAUUUCCUUGUUUCCUGUAACAGAUGAUUGCCCCUUCUUUUUCAGCGACCGUAGCUUGCAAUGCUCCCUGUUGGUCUACAUGAUGGACUUUAGGGCCUGUUUGCUUGUUAAAAAGAAUGAAAUGUAAUGAAUUAAAAAAAAAAAAGAUAAAAGUAUGAUAAUCAAUCAAGAUAUGGAGAAAAUAUAAGUUAACCAUGUUUAUAAAGGGAGAAGAAUAAUUUAGUUUAUGAAAUUGAUGGCCAUGAUUUCUGAUAUUUGUGGUGGAUGCCAUGAUUUCUACAUUUGGUAUGCAAUAUUGAGUUUUAUAUCAUAAUGGAUUGGAUAAUUUAGUUCAUUUUUUGUUCUUUCUUUCUUUCUUUUUUUUUUUUAAUUUCAUCCCAUUAAUCAAACAGCUCAUUUGUUUAGUUGCUUGUCCGUACAAGAUUGAUUUGCAUUGUGUCUGAAAAAGUGAUUCUGAAACUGUAUCUGCGGGAAGAAGCAAAGGAAGAGAGCGAUGAUGACAUGGGGUUCGGCUUAUUUGACUAGGUCUUCCCUUCAGUUCAUGCUCUUUGCUCGUCAGCCAAUCUAGGACCUAUUGUUAUUUGUCUCGUGACCAAUUGAAAGAUUUUUAUUUCAUUUUCAUUUUUCAUUUUUUCAAUUUCCAUUCGAGAGAACUUAGCAAUCAGUUGAGCAUUAGCCCAGUGCCUUAUCAAUCAAAAGUUUGCCGUUUAAUUUCUCAA